AGUGAACGCUGGCGGUAGGCCUAACACAUGCAAGUCGAACGGCAGCACAGGAGAGCUUGCUCUCUGGGUGGCGAGUGGCGGACGGGUGAGGAAUACAUCGGAAUCUACUCUGUCGUGGGGGAUAACGUAGGGAAACUUACGCUAAUACCGCAUACGACCUACGGGUGAAAGCAGGGGAUCUUCGGACCUUGCGCGAUUGAAUGAGCCGAUGUCGGAUUAGCUAGUUGGCGGGGUAAAGGCCCACCAAGGCGACGAUCCGUAGCUGGUCUGAGGGGAUGAUCAGCCACACUGGAACUGAGACACGGUCCAGACGCCGACGGGAGGCAGCAGUGGGGAAUAUUGGACAACGGGCGCAAGCCUGAUCCAGCCAUACCGCGUGGGUGAAGAAGGCCUUCGGGUUGUAAAGCCCUUUUGUUGGGAAAGAAAUCCAGCUGGCUAAUACCCGGUUGGGAUGACGGUACCCAAAGAAUAAGCACCGGCUAACUUCGUGCCAGCCGCCGCAGUAA
This 506-nucleotide ribosomal RNA is filed under the name uncultured bacterium. Its description in RNAcentral is "partial 16S ribosomal RNA". It matches the Rfam family "Bacterial small subunit ribosomal RNA", at positions 29 to 523 of the family's 1533-position model. The record is from RNAcentral.